GGACUACACGGGUAUCUAAUCCUGUUUGCUACCCACGCUUUCGCGCCUCAGCGUCAGUUACUGUCCAGGUGGCCGCCUUCGCCACUGGUGUUCCUCCUCAUCUCUACGCAUUUCACCGCUACACGAGGAAUUCCACCACCCUCUCCAGUACUCUAGCCUCCCAGUCUCGGAUGCAGUUCCUGGGUUGAGCCCAGGGAUUGCACAUCCGACUUAAGAAACCGCCUACGCGCCCUUUACGCCCAAUAAUUCCGAAUAACGCUUGCCCCCUCUGUAUUACCGCGGCGGCUGGCAC
Molecule: ribosomal RNA, 292 nt
Filed under: uncultured Acidobacteriota bacterium
Lineage: Bacteria; Pseudomonadati; Acidobacteriota
Description: uncultured Acidobacteria bacterium partial 16S ribosomal RNA
Source: RNAcentral